RNAcentral lists this ribosomal RNA (253 nucleotides) under uncultured bacterium. RNAcentral describes it as "partial 16S ribosomal RNA". It matches the Rfam family "Bacterial small subunit ribosomal RNA", at positions 524 to 776 of the family's 1533-position model. The record is from RNAcentral.
UACGGGGGGGGCAAGCGUUGUUCGGAAUCACUGGGCGUAAAGCGCACGUAGGCGGAUUCGUAAGUCAGGGGUGAAAUCCCGGGGCUCAACCUCGGAACUGCCUUUGGUACUGCGGGUCUUGAGUCCGAUAGAGGUGGGUGGAAUUCCUAGUGUAGAGGUGAAAUUCGUAGAUAUUAGGAAGAACACCGGUGGCGAAGGCGGCCCACUGGAUCGGUACUGACGCUGAGGUGCGAAAGCGUGGGGAGCAAACAGG